AUGCCAUGAUGAGGACAGGUGGCGACGUAUUCCUGCAAUCUUUCCCAUGCUUCUGAGAUCGUCUCAUCUUUCGUCUGGAGGAAGCUGGAUAUUCUUCCGCAAAGGGU
This 107-nucleotide small nucleolar RNA is filed under the name Oryza punctata. RNAcentral describes it as "Plant small nucleolar RNA R71". It matches the Rfam family "Plant small nucleolar RNA R71". Rfam says of the family: R71 is a member of the C/D box family of snoRNAs containing the C (UGAUGA) and D (CUGA) box motifs. Multiple nearly identical copies of this snoRNA have been identified in Arabidopsis, and it is thought to function as a 2'-O-ribose methylation guide for 18S ribosomal RNA. The record is from Rfam by way of RNAcentral. Lineage: Eukaryota; Viridiplantae; Streptophyta; Magnoliopsida; Poales; Poaceae.